UCCCUAUGGGGUGCAGCAGGCGCGAAAUCUUUGCAAUAGGCGAAAGCCUGACAAGGUUACUCUGAGUGAUUUCCGAUAAGGAGAUCUUUUGACACCUCUAAAAAUGGUGUAGAAUAAGGGGUGGGCAAGCCUGGUGUCAGCCGCCGCGGUAAUACCAGCACCCCGAGUGGUCGGGACGAUUAUUGGGCCUAAAGCAUCCGUAGCCGGUCCUGCCAGUCCUCCGUUAAAUCCACCCGCUCAACGGUUGGGCCGCGGGGGAUACUACAGGGCUAGGAGGCGGGAGAGGCAAGCGGUACUCGAUGGGUAGGGGUAAAAUCCACUGAUCCAUUGAAGACCACCAGUGGCGAAGGCGGCUUGCCAGCACGCGCUCGACGGUGAGGGAUGAAAGCUGGGGGAGCAAACCGGAUUAGAUACCCGGGUAGUCCCAGCUGUAAACGAUGCAGGCUAGGUGUUUGGGCGGCCACGAGCCGCCCUAGUGCCGCAGGGAAGCUGUUAAGCCUGCCGCCUGGGGAGUACGGCCGCAAGGCUGAAACUUAAAGGAAUUGGCGGGGGAGCACCACAAGGCGUGAAGCUUGCGGUUCAAUUGGAUUCAAAGCCGGAA
RNAcentral lists this ribosomal RNA (601 nucleotides) under uncultured archaeon. RNAcentral describes it as "bacterial SSU rRNA". It matches the Rfam family "Archaeal small subunit ribosomal RNA", at positions 319 to 923 of the family's 1478-position model. The record is from RNAcentral.